Arachis duranensis is the source of this 882-nucleotide long non-coding RNA. RefSeq lists it as uncharacterized. NCBI's taxonomy places the organism in Eukaryota, Viridiplantae, Streptophyta, Magnoliopsida, Fabales, Fabaceae. The transcript is spliced from 5 exons. The record is from RefSeq and is a predicted model, not a curated record.
AGAGCAAGAUCUGAGAGAAGAGGAGGCAGACAACGAGAAGCGAGCUUCAGGAGCAGAGGCGAACAGGGCUUUCACAAUGGAGAAGAAGCUCUCAUGCCAAUGUCAAACAUGGUUACUACGAUGCACUAAAUCAUGCUGCUGUAAUCGAAGAGGAAGCAUCUUGGUAGCAAGGUUGUGACGCCGGAAAGCUAAUCGGUGGAGAGAUUCACCGUUGGAGCUGGAAGAGAAGAAUGGUGGUAGAUAUCUUGCCAUUGAAGAUGUUAUCGACUGUGAGGCAAAGGUCAGAUCAAAGCAGGAGCUCCUUGCAGAGGCAAGCCACUAGAAAAAUUGCAAAUACUCAGAUAUGACAUAUUCAAGGUCUUACACUAUGUGAACAACAUCUAAUUUCAACAGAUAUGAUGAGUAAGCAAUACUCUUUGAUGAAUCUGCGAGAACAUGCAAAUAAAAAACAAUUUGAGUCCAAGGCAUUUGAUUUAUAUAAAUAAUACUCACCAAAUAAAGGAAUGCUGAAAAAUUUUAUGAAUGAAGCUCAUGAGAAAUUGAAGGUUUGUUCAUUUGCUUUUGUUUUGAUUUCGUCAUUCAUAAGUAUCUUUGUAAGGGGAUAAGUUAUAUUGAUUAGUGUAAUUUGAACUUACUAUUAUUAAUUCAUAUGUUUCUUUGCUAAUCUUUUUUUAUUUAAUUUUUUCAUUCUGUUUGAAUUUAAUUUUUGAUUCUUUUUUUUUUUUAUUUUUCUCAGGUGUUUAAAGUAUUUUUUGAUAUAAAAUUUAUUUGAUUUCUUUGCUUAGAAGAUUCUCCAGGCUAUUUCUUGCAUGUAUGUUAGUAGUAAUUAUUUAAUAACCCUUCUUGAUGUCCAAAAUCAAAGAAUUUAGGUAAUUUAUACAU